UGGGGAAUAUUGGACAAUGGGGGCAACCCUGAUCCAGCCAUGCCGCGUGAGUGAUGAAGGCCUUCGGGUUGUAAAGCUCUUUUGGCGGGGACGAUGAUGACGGUACCCGCAGAAUAAGCCCCGGCUAACUUCGUGCCAGCAGCCGCGGUAAGACGAAGGGGGCUAGCGUUGUUCGGAAUUACUGGGCGUAAAGCGAGUGUAGGCGGUUGCCGUAGUCAGGUGUGAAAGCCUUGAGCUCAACUCAAGAAAUGCACUUGAUACUGGGUGACUAGAGGACCGGAGAGGAUAGUGGAAUUCCCAGUGUAGUGGUGAAAUACGUAGAGAUUGGGAAGAACACCAGUGGCGAAGGCGGCUAUCUGGACGGUUACUGACGCUAAGACUCGAAAGCGUGGGGAGCAAAACAGGAUUAGAUACCCUGGUAGUCCACGCCGUAAACGAUGGGUGCUAGACGUUGGCGAGCUUGCUCGUCAGUGUCGCAGCUAACGCGUUAAGCACCCCGCCUGGGGGAGU
RNAcentral lists this ribosomal RNA (510 nucleotides) under uncultured bacterium. RNAcentral describes it as "partial 16S ribosomal RNA". It matches the Rfam family "Bacterial small subunit ribosomal RNA", at positions 355 to 881 of the family's 1533-position model. The record is from RNAcentral.